Molecule: long non-coding RNA, 3504 nt
Filed under: Gossypium raimondii (Peruvian cotton)
Lineage: Eukaryota; Viridiplantae; Streptophyta; Magnoliopsida; Malvales; Malvaceae
Description: long non-coding RNA (GRAI_LNC006951)
Source: RNAcentral
UUCAAUUGAUAUAAGUGGAAACCAUUAAAGAAUGUCCUGCAAUCAAGUAUCAGAGUAUAAAGUAAUGGUUAAUCAACUUUUGAUUGUGAAUUAAGUGUAACCGAACAAGCAUCAAGUUCAUUGAUAUGAGAAACAUCCCUUGCAAUGGUAAGACCAUCUCUUAAUGGCCAUAGUUCUACUUGAACACUAGUAGCAGAUGAUAUAUGGCUAUAUGCUAGAACAAUCCAAUCCCCAUUACUAUCCCAAAUAAUUAUCCUUGUUCCAACUUUCCCAGGAGUAGUUAAGGUGAAGCCAUCCAUAUUCAAUUUAUGUCAUCCUCGUAGAGGUGGCUCCUAGUGAAUUCCUACCAUAGUGCAUAGCCCAUAUUGCAAUGUCGGCACGAAAAGAGUAUAGAAUCCACAACAACAUCCUUAGAUAACCCAAUUUUCCCUAGCAUAAAAGCAAACAUAACUCUCCAAGGGAUUCGGUGAUCAUGAUGCUAAACUCUGGCAUUCAAGUUAUUCUUUAACUAGCCAUAUAGCAAAGCACCAAAUUGAGUUCAAUUAUGUCCCCUUAGCCAAUUUUCGUUCCACCAUUGUAGAGAGAACCUACACUCUUUACGUACAAGUGUAAGGGUUUUCAGUGAUCCCUGCGUAAGGGGCACUUCUCAUCCACUUGGCUCCUCUCCACUUAAUGAACACUUCAGUUGGGACAAUCUCAUGGAACCACUCUUAAAGGGAAAAUAACAUAAUUUUGGAGGGACUUUAACUUUCCAAACAUGUUUCCAAUGUGAUCAGAUUUUAAUCUCAGCAAUAAACUUAGAAGUUAAGUCAUUUUUGGUAAAGUUAUAUGUAACACCCCUAACCCGUGUCCGUCGCCGGAUUAGGGUUACGAGGCUUUAUCGAUCAAAAUACAACUCAGAACAGACAUUCAUUUCAAUUCAAGUACCAAAAAAAAAAUGUAAUCAGUUUAAUACUAUUCAUCUAGUAUAAAUUUAAACCAAACUAACAUGCUUCAAUACUAUAAUUCAUACUCUACCCAAAUUAAUAUUCUAACAUUAUAACCAAUGAGUCAUAGCAAUCGAAUACUUAACUUAUAACCAAGUAUAAUUCAUUUCAUAUACCAAUCAUAUAUUCAUAUAAAUCUAUUUCAUUAAAUACUUUCCAAAAGUACUAUUUAUAAAUAUGCGCUUUUUCACAUUUUACUAAGUCAAGCCAAACCACAUGAUUUAUUAAACAUUAAUAUAUAUACGACAUUAACAACUUCACAUAAUGGUCAAGUAUAAAAUUUGGUUUUACCAAAUUAUGCAUAUUUUACCAAAAUAAUAACUACCAAUUUCACAACUCAAAUCAAAGCUAACUGUACCAUUUAUAACCGUACCUAAAUGACCAUCAAUGUAACACCCCUUACCCGUGACCGUCGCCGGAAUCGAGUACGAGAUGUCAUCCAAUUUAACUUACCGAUUCGGAGCAUAAAAAUUUGCUUUUAAAAUUAAAUUCACUGUUCACAACAAAACUGUCCACCUGCGCGACUGUCACUAAUUUAAUUAUAACUUGAGUUACGAAACUCAAAAUUUAAAUCUGUAAAUUUUCCCUGAAACUAGACUCAUAUUCCUACUUACCAUAAAAUUUUCAGAAUUUUUGACUUAGCCAAUUAGUACAGUUUAUUCAUUAAAGUAUCCCCUGUUUCACAGCUCGACAGAUCUGACCUCUUGGCACUAAAAAUCAAUUAUCUAAUUGUACAGAAUUCAUAUAAGGUUACCAUUAAUUUCUUUUGAAAAUAGACUCACUAAGGAAUCUAGACAUAUAAAUUAUGACCUAUAAUUAUUUCUGUACAAUUUAUAAUGAUUUUCUAAAGUUAGAACAGGGGACUUCAAAAACCAUUCUGACCCUGUCUCACUAAAAUUCAAAUAUCUCAAAAUAUAGAAUUCCUUUGCCUACGCCGUUUCUUUCAUGUAAAAAUAGACUUGAUAAGCUUUAAUUCUAUAUACCAUUCACUCUAUAAUUCCAUAUCUACUAUUUAUGGUGAUUUUUCACAUUCACGUCACUGCUGCUGUCAAAGAAACUGCUUCUAUGUAUUAGCUACCAUUUACACAUACAUAACACCAAAACAUAAUCUUUACUAACCAUAUCAUAUGAACAUACUCAAAAUGAUUAAGACUCUAUACAUGCCAUAACUUUAAACAUUUUGAAAACACAUAAUACCGAGACGAUUAUGAUAGUGUGAUACGAGCUCCGACGAUCCCCACUUCGAUCAAGUUCAAAUCACUAUAAAACAAAGGAAAAGAAGAAAGGUGUAAGCUACUAAUAGCUUAGUAAGUUACAUGUAAAUAAUAGGUACUCAUUUAACAAUUAACACUUUUAACAUAUAACUAAUCAAAACAUUUCUUAGCAAUUUCAAUCACUUACAAAUGCACAAUCUUACCAAAUCACUUGCAUAUACAUUUUCACACUUUUAUCACAUAUACUCAUUCUUUCAAUUGUACCUGCAUACACACUUCAUUUCAUAUUCACUUUAAUUCAUUAUUAAUCCCGUUGAACACUUGGAAUAUACACGGAUACGUAGAGAUUUAGCACAUAAGUGCCACACUGAUAUGUAGCCGAAGCUACCACUGAAUGUAGCCGAAGCUACCACUGAAAUGUAGCCGAAGCUACCACUGAUCAAUAACACUGGAAAUGUCCACGGGCCUGCUCACACAAGCUGUCAGGUGUCUGCAACACAUGCUAGACCACCCAGCACCCGGGACUCACUGUAACACUGUAACACUGGUCUCUAGUGACAUGUCACUUGUAUCCACUUCUAUUCCUAAGUUCAACCGGGAAUUUACACUUAACACUUUAUCACUUGAAUAAUUCAUGAACAAUUUUCCUUCCACAUUCAAUAUUGAUUCACAUAUCAAAUAAAAUUCACAAUUUAUAAAAUAUAUUACUAUUAUUUACACAUAACUUACCUCGGAUGCAAAACGACUAUUUUUGUAAUUUAGUCGAUAACUUUCUCUUUUCCCCGAUCACUUCCACUAUUUCUUCUUUCUUGAUCUAUAUUAACACAAUUUAAUACAUUUUAUCAACAUUUCAUUCAAAUACAAUUCAUACACAACAUUUUGGCAAAUUUACAUUUUUCCCUGAAACUUUUCAAAAAUUCCACUUUUGUCCCUAAGCUCGUAAAAAUAAAAUUCACUAAAUUUUUAAAUUUCAAACUUCACAAAAUCAUAUUUCAUGCUCAUAACAGCCCUCAAUUUCACAAAAUCACAACUUUAUGCACACUUUACCAUCUUUCACAAUUUAGCCCUUUUUCAACAUUUUCAUCAAAAUUCAUCUAGUAAAACUUGUAAUUAACACUUCAAACAUUCAUUAUCUAACAUCACUAAUCAAUUUACAAUUAUAUCAUGAAUGGGUCAAUUUUUAAACUUUAAUUUCAUUUAAAUUAAAUGGUAGAAACAUGAAAUUCAAGCUUCAAUAAGCAUAAAAAUACGAAAAUAAUCAAAAACGGGACAAGAAAUCACUUACAAUUGAGCUUAGGAAGUUC